Molecule: transfer RNA, 90 nt
Filed under: Aureispira
Lineage: Bacteria; Pseudomonadati; Bacteroidota; Saprospiria; Saprospirales; Saprospiraceae
Also listed under: 1 other name
Description: tRNA-Ser
Rfam family: tRNA
About the family: Transfer RNA (tRNA) molecules are approximately 80 nucleotides in length. Their secondary structure includes four short double-helical elements and three loops (D, anti-codon, and T loops). Further hydrogen bonds mediate the characteristic L-shaped molecular structure. tRNAs have two regions of fundamental functional importance: the anti-codon, which is responsible for specific mRNA codon recognition, and the 3' end, to which the tRNAs corresponding amino acid is attached (by aminoacyl-tRNA synthetases). tRNAs cope with the degeneracy of the genetic code in two manners: having more than one tRNA (with a specific anti-codon) for a particular amino acid; and 'wobble' base-pairing, i.e. permitting non-standard base-pairing at the 3rd anti-codon position.
Source: RNAcentral
GGAGAGGUGCCAGAGCGGUUUAUCGGGCACGCUUGGAAAGCGUGUGUGCCUUUGCGGGUACCGCGGGUUCGAAUCCCGCUCUCUCCGCCA